Molecule: long non-coding RNA, 1184 nt
Filed under: Sus scrofa (pig)
Lineage: Eukaryota; Metazoa; Chordata; Mammalia; Artiodactyla; Suidae
Description: lncRNA (ENSSSCG00030065491.1)
Source: RNAcentral
AGAGGCUUUAAAAAACACCAGUGCCUGGGAGUUCCUGUUGUGGUGCAGAGGAAAUGAAUCCAACCAGGAACCAUGAGGUUGUGGGUUUGAUCCCUGGUCUUGCUCAGUGGGUUGGGGAUCCGGAAUUGCUGAGGCUGUGGCAUGGGCUGGCAGCCAUAGCUCCAAUUUGGCCCCAAGCUUGGGGGCCUCCAUAUGCCACAUGUGCAGCCCUAAAAAGCAAAAAAAUAAAAAUAAAAAAAAAAACAAUGCCUGUGUACUACCAAUAAAAAAUUUAAUUUAAUUUAUAUGGAAUGCAGCCUGGUAGCUGAUUGCUUUAAAACCUUCCCAGAUGAUUUUAAUGUGCAAGCAGUUUCUAGCUUCUGGGCAGAUCCUGAAUGAGAAAUAGCAAACUCUAAUCUGAUUAGUUUUCCUUGAUGUUUGAGCUGUCUACUUACUUUCUUGUCUAAUUUCUCUAGAAAUUUGAGGAUAAAGGGAGAAGUCCUAGAAUUUCAUUGAACUCAAUAUUUUCCCUCAUAAUCAUUCCUAGGAAGAAGGUAUGGGAGUAUGAUCCAGUCUUGGCAGAAGCUUUUCAAUGUUGCUCUCCUUUACUAUGCUUUCCAUUUGCUUGUAAUUUGUCGGUUUGCUUUUGCAACCUUUAAUUAUUUAUUUAUUUUGCCCAAUAUUGGAGGGUAAAGAUUCUAUGAAUUAACUUUAUCCUAUCACUUUUACCUGGAAGUCUUUACAGUUUUUAUUACAUUAUGUUAUUUUCUCUAAUGCUCAUAAUAGUCCUGUGAAGUAGCUGUUGCAACAACAAUUAAUGCCACUGUUAUUUCUAUUUAUACAUUUCCUCAUUUUACAGAUUCCUAGCUUUCCUCCUUUGAAAAAGGAAGACAGUAAUGGUGCCCACCUCAUAUGUUGCCUUGAAGAUUAAAUGAAAGCAUAUAUACCCCAUCAACAAAGACAUGGACCAGCAGCAGCUCCAGGAAGUCCCCUUCUCCCAAGAAACCCUUCCUAAUUGGAUCGAGGCAGGGUCAAGUUGGCAAAGGAAUAAGAUGUGUUGCUAACCGUUUCCUACAAACACAUAAAAAAAUCUACAUAUAGAACAAUUCAUGCAGAACAUCUACUGAACACUAACAGAAGAACUUAAAUCUCCAAAAGGGGCAAGAAACCCUCCAUAUAACUGGCUAGAACAAAAAGAAAAAAAA